RNAcentral lists this ribosomal RNA (590 nucleotides) under uncultured archaeon. RNAcentral describes it as "bacterial SSU rRNA". It matches the Rfam family "Archaeal small subunit ribosomal RNA", at positions 263 to 856 of the family's 1478-position model. The record is from RNAcentral.
AUCAGUAAGGGCUCUUAGCGGAGAGGCCCUGAGAAGGAAUCUGAGACACUAUUCCUAGCUCUACGGGGUGCAGCAGUCGAGGAAAUUUUACAAUGCUCGAAAGAGUGAUAAAAUAAGCCAGAGUGUUUCUCCUAGAGAAACUUUUGUUAGUUGUAAAAAGACUAGCGAAUAAGGACUGGGCAAGACCGGUGCCAGCCGCCGCGGUAAUCCCGGCGGUCCAAGUCGUAUCCACAUUUAUUGGGUCUAAAACAUUCGUAGCUUGUUUUGUAAGUCUCUUGUGAAAUCUGACAUCUCAAGUGUCAGGCGUGCAAGAGAUACUGCAUUGCUAGAGACCGGAAGAUGCAAAGAGUAUGAUUAAGGUAGCGGUAAAAUGUGUUAAUCUUAAUCAGACUAACAAUGGCGAAGGCACUUUGCAAGUACGGAUCUGACAGUGAGGGAUGAAGGCUAGGGGCGCAAAACGGAUUAGAUACCCGUGUAGUCCUAGCAGUAAACACUGCUCACUAAACAUUAGUGCCUCCUCGAGAGGCAUUAGUGCUGUAGAGAAGUCGAAGAGUGAGCUACCUGGGAAGUAUAGUCGCAAGGCCGAAACU